Molecule: long non-coding RNA, 1915 nt
Filed under: Cavia porcellus (domestic guinea pig)
Lineage: Eukaryota; Metazoa; Chordata; Mammalia; Rodentia; Caviidae
Description: lncRNA (ENSCPOG00000036878.1)
Source: RNAcentral
CACCGUUGGUUUGCAGGCCCUUGAGGUUUCCCCCCGCCCCCCCGGGGUUUCAACCCUGAAGCUCGGGUGCCCUCGGUGCCUGCGCCCCCGGGGCCCCGGCCAACAACGGCCGCCUUUCCACUCAGCCCCACGCUGCCCCCGCGGCCCGCCACGGCCGGCGCCAUGGCCCCGCUGCGCAGCCACAAGCCCACGGUCGCGUCCCUCAGCCCGUAUACCUGCCUGCCGUCUCUUAGGGAGACACCCCAGCCUCUCAAGCCCUGCAGAUCGCACCCUGAUUCUGCAGCUGACCUGCUGUCCGCCCUGAGUCAGGAAGAACAGGAGCUCAUCAGGCCUGUGGUCGCCCUGGGAUACCCCCUGGCCAGGGCCAUCACAGCUCUUCAGAGGACGGGGAGACAGAGCCUGAGCCAAUUUCUCGGCUACCUCAGCGCCCGGGAGAGGCUGCUGCAGCAGGGCUAUGAGGAGGCCCUGGUGGACGAGGCCAUGGAGCUGUUCCAGAACUCUGAAAGCAAGGCCAGGGAGUUCCUGCGCCUCUGGGAGCAGUUCAGCGACAUGGGUUUCCAGCCGCAGCGGAUCAAGGAGGUGCUGCUGGUACACGGCAACCGCCAUGAGCAGGCCCUGGAGGAGCUGGUGGCCGGCACCCAGUGACUGUGAGGCCACUGGCCUGUGUCCUUGAAACCCAGCCGGAGCCACACAGACAAAGCUAUGCACGUUCACUAUAAAAAACAAACAGUCCCAAGGCAGGGGAAACACUGAGGUCAGCUGGCGGCGCUCCAGGAGGACUAGGCAGGGGCCAGUGAGGUGGGACUGAGCCUUGCACCCUGCCUGUGUUCCAUGUGUACCCUCUGUGUUAAUAACUUUGCUGUUGAGAAAAUUAAAACAAUAACAGUAGCAACAGAAUGACGGGCAGUUGUUUUGAGUCCUGUAGGCUGCUGGUCUUGGGAUGGAAAAUAUAUCCCCACUGAGCCUCAGAAGUUCCGAUUUGGGUUCUGUGGAUGUCGAGCUCAAGGGCUCUUUGGGUCUCCAUGUCCCCAAAGGAAAAGUAGAAAAUCUGAUGAAGUCAAUGUUUGACCUGGCCAGUGCCCAUCAGAUACUCUGACUCAGAAAGCACAGCAUGGUGGCCUCCUGGGUGUUCUUUCAUUGGUUCUUUAAGACACAGUUUCAUUGGUGUGGGACGAUGAAGGCAGUCCUCCUGCUUCAGCCUGCCAAGUAUCCGGGACUACAGGUAACAAGCUCAGUUUGUUUUAUAUAAUGGGUUCUCUGGGGUUCUUUACAAUGGCACAGGCCCAAGGCCAGUGAGUGUGGCCUUCUGGACCAGCCAGGCUAGGCCCCCUUCUGCCCUGACAGUCCAGCCCGAAUGUCCCCUUUCAUCUUCUGGGAGGUGGGGAGAUUAGGACCAGGUUGUCUCCAGCUGCCCCACAUCUGUCCGUUAGAGGCCCCCAGGGGAGCCAAAGGGUAACUUGCUGAAGCAGCCUAGAGGUCAGAGGCCAAGACAUGGAUGCCCCAUUUUUUCUAGUCGCCCCACGGCAAGUGGAGUCCAGGCUUCUCAGCCACUUGCAGACAAGGCUGUAUUUGGUGCUGUGAAACCACAAACAGAAACACUCAUGUUGCUCAGAGCUCAGAGGCUGGGUCUGGCGGUGUCUCGGAGACUUCUGCAGCCCCCAUAAGAAGUCUGGGACUGGGCCCAGUUCCCUAAGCCCCAUCACACCACUAAGCCCCAGUAUUCUUCGGCCUUCAAAUCACUUUAAAUCAAUGCACUUUAAGGUGAUGCAAAACUGAGAAAAUCAGCAAGAUGGCACAAAGUUGGGUCAUGUGUCUAUUGCCAAAAAUAAAGCUAGCCUUGGAGAAGAUGAUACAAUUAGAGUUCAGUUUCUAAGAUGCAGUUUUAGGGUCAAAGUUAUUUCGGUUCUGAUUAAAU